UUUAGUGAGAACUGUUGGUGAUAGGUGGACGGUUGGACUGGGUGAUCUUGGAGGUAGAGAGGAACUGCAAAGCACCAUGAUAAAGGCAGCUGAGCAGAAAGCUGGGGUACAAUUCCAGCCUCUGCAAAAUCAGAUCGAACUCCAACCCUUGUCAGCCUCUUGCAUUAACCCCACUUUGUGUAAAUAGUUGACAGUGAUCAAAUGCAAAUAAUCACAUGGGCCUAAUUUGCGUCAUGAUAGAUGUGGUGUAAAUGAAAGCCUAAAGUAAGCACGAAGAAAUCCAUGUCCUAACGAGCACAAUACGCAAAUUACUGUUAGGACUCUUAAUCAAAUAAAAUAUUUGCUACACUUUAUUUUUGACAAUGUGCAUUUCAUUCUCUAUUAAAUUAGUGCUUGAUAAAGUAAUAAAAUUAUUACGGCCAUAAAGUUACUGCGCUAUACCUUCAAGGGAAGGCAUUCGAGAGAUCCUUCGCUGUCCUCGGAUUAUUGACUUUGGCAUUAUGAAAAACGCAGAUUGGUGCCUUACACUAAUUCUUUCCCACAGCGUUUGUAACUCAGGCCUAUGCUUAUUCAUGCAAUGUGUUGGCAGUAAAUUAAAAAAAAAACACACAUACCCAACACCGGGCCCAUGCUUGAAAACUAACAGACUGUUUUUUGUUUUCUUUUAACCAUUUAUUGUAGCAACGCCACAGACAACUGUAGUUUUCUGUUGCAUGAAUAAUGUAUUGUAGCAGCUAGGCAUGCCCUCAGUAAUACACUCCUGCCAGCAAGAAGUAGAGUGCUGAGUGCUACUGCUGAAUAAUGAUUAAUUACUCGCCCUUCUGAAGGAGCCUGGUUUUGUAAACUGGUCACACAGCAUGUUACGUGGAUUGUGUCUGCUACACAAAAGGUUACUUGCAAUCACAUAAUGAGACAUAAUGAUGCACAUCACAACAAUUCUUUGGUACAAAUCUGCACACAAUGGAAUUUAGAUAGAAACUCAUUUAUUUAUGUAUCGAGUUUGCCAGAGGGUACAAAACGUCACUGCAUUGCUGCAGUGCUGCCACUGUUCCUUCUGCAAUGCUGACAUUUUGAAUGAAUGGCUGUGCAGCAUUGCCCAUUGCAGACUGCUGGAAGGCUCCAGGAGGGACUCGGCUCCCACUGUGUGAUGGCUGUGUGAGUGGCAUACUUUGCUGAAGUGCGUCCAGAUCCUUUUUUGGGAAGCUGGGAGGCGUCUCCUUGCUGUGAGAGAGAAACAUGGUGCAAUCUUUUCAUCGCUCGGUUUUAGUGACACAGGUUCAAGCAGAACCAAGGAAACCAUUCCUCCUGUCCAAGAGACAGUCUCGCGGAUCCUCAGUUCCCUUCACAGCACUUGUUCAACCUUUAACCUUUUAAGGACCAUAUCUGGCAACUGAACAGGGAUUACCUGAGCAGAGGAGCUAGUAACUACUAUAACUGGCAGAGUGAUGGCAAAAAUCCUGGUGCAGGGAACAAAUGGACGCUGCUGAAAAGAGAAAGAAAAAAAGAUGGAGAAGAAGAAAAGAAAUGAUGCUGGGAGCUGGCAAAAGCUUUUCACUCUGAGUUCUGGAGCAGGAGAAACGCUUGCUGGGAAAAAAAGACUGCAACUGGAGGUACGCUGCAGCUCUCCUUUUUUGCUGCUGGAAAGAAGUUAAUAAAUGCAGUCACAAUACAAGCCCCCUUUUGGAGCAUACGACUCUUUGCAAGAAGGAGAGCAGAGAGUACGUGGCUACUCCUCUGCAGCUGUGUUUCCAAGUCAGCUGGUGCUUAUUUUCUAAUUGGGAACCACAACAGCAUAUGGGCUCACCUUUGAUUGAUAAACUCCUUCAUCCUUUGAAUUCUGGAACAGAGAGGGUUCUACUUAUUUUAAAUCCUAAUGAUUUCUGCUGCACCAAGCUCUUUCAUUUUUAUACAGGAAACCCAGAUUAAUUGUUUCAACCAUCUGACUAUCCAUUACAAUCAGAGGAUGCACUUCUUGUUAAAGUUUCAGAAUUGUUGAAUAAAAUACCAUUU
Long non-coding RNA from Gallus gallus (chicken), 2010 nucleotides. Lineage: Eukaryota; Metazoa; Chordata; Aves; Galliformes; Phasianidae. The record is from Ensembl.